AUGGCGAGUGAAAACACCGAGACAAACGCGGGGAACGACGAGGAAACCAGUCCCCCGUCUGAGACAAACGAGCACGACUAUGCCCACUCCGCAGCCAAUACCUUUGCCUCCACGGACACGUCCUCCCUCUCUGGUGCUCCGGCGGCUGGCGAUGCGCGGGGAAACUUUACUGCAGCUGCUGGAGCCGAGCAGAGCGGGUCAGGUCAGCCCACCACAUCUGUAGAGCUUCCCGAACCGGCCGUGGGUGCAGAGGUGGACUGUCCUGGUGGGAAUGAUGUGGAAGCAUCCUCUCUGCCGCAGACCGCAGAAGACUCCCAAAAGGCAGCAGCCUCUGAACUCGCUGGUGCCUCCGUCGCCCCCGGUGCGUCCCGGAGCGGCCGCCGGCGUUCCACGCGGCCGGAGGACAGGAACUGCUGCUGCUGCAAGUGCGAGUUCGAGCGGCAGGGCCGCAGCUUCAACCGGAGGGCCGUGUUCACCUUCACCACCCCAGAGACUGUACACUGGGCCUUCCCGGGGUCCACAGUGACCGACAAGUCCUUCCUGUGCGAGAUCUGUGCGCAGGUCAUCAGGAGCAAGUGCAAGCGUAAACACAGCGGGAAGAGAACCUUGUGGCUGAAACCACCGUCAGAGAUUAGAGACAAAAGGAAGAAAGGUCGCAGGAUGGGGAAGAAGAGCAAAGCGGCGCUGCUGGUGAGCAAGUCCUGCUACAAGGCCGCUUUCAAAAUGCUCUGGUCUGCCAAAGGUGCCCGGAAGCCCAUGAUGGAGUUCUGGAUCAAACAGUUGAAAGAUGAGAUGAAGGCGCUGACGCGGCAGACGGACAGUCCCUUCCAUCAGAAAGUGUCGAGCAGGAGGCCACUGUCGUCGUUCCCCUGGCGUCGCUGUCUGAACUGGUUCCAGGACAAAGCUCCACUCGUCACCACCUGCCUCACCUCGCUGUUCCCAGACAUCAGCCACCUCUCGAAGAGCAGCCACCAGAUGUCAGAGGAGCAGGCCCAGACGUUGCUGGAGCGGCGUGUAGUGGUGGCACUCUCCGUCCCGCUCUUCACCAGGAACAUCUGGAAGAACAACUACCUGCAGGCCGCUCUAGGGGCAGAGCUACGCCUGCAGGGCUGCUCCGGCUCCGCUCUGGAUGCCCUCAACACCAUGGGACUGUGUCAGAACAAGGACACCGUCAGGUUACUGCUGCAAAGGCUCCGAACCAGCAAGAAGAACGCCACACAAAACGGACAGCAGAGGAUGAAGAUGAAACAAGAGCAGAUGAAAGGAGAACACAUGACAGACAUUGAGGACGAGGACGAGGAUGAGAAUGAAGAAGAAGCGGAAGAGGAAAUGGACUUGGAAAUGGAUGAGGAAGAGGAAGAGGAGGAGGAGGAUGAUGAGGACGAGGAGGAGGAAGAAGAAGAAGAAGAAGAGAGGAGGAGGAAUUGGAGAUGGCAGCAGAGGAAGAAAUAG
RNAcentral lists this long non-coding RNA (1452 nucleotides) under Sparus aurata (gilthead seabream). RNAcentral describes it as "lncRNA (ENSSAUG00010022829.1)". Lineage: Eukaryota; Metazoa; Chordata; Actinopteri; Spariformes; Sparidae. The record is from RNAcentral.